RNAcentral lists this small RNA (117 nucleotides) under Macaca mulatta (Rhesus monkey). Its description in RNAcentral is "Metazoan signal recognition particle RNA (ENSMMUG00000060749.1)". Lineage: Eukaryota; Metazoa; Chordata; Mammalia; Primates; Cercopithecidae. The record is from Rfam by way of RNAcentral.
GCCGGGCGCGGUGGCCCAUGCCUGUAAUCCCAGCACUUUGGGAGGCCGAGGCGGGUGGAUCACCUGAGGCCGGGAGUUCUAGACCAGCCUGGCUAAUAUGGUGAAACCCUGUCUCUA